RNAcentral lists this ribosomal RNA (492 nucleotides) under uncultured bacterium. RNAcentral describes it as "partial 16S ribosomal RNA". It matches the Rfam family "Bacterial small subunit ribosomal RNA", at positions 29 to 507 of the family's 1533-position model. The record is from RNAcentral.
AGUGAACGCUGGCGGUAUGCCUAACACAUGCAAGUCGAACGGCAGCACAGUAAGAGCUUGCUCUUACGGGUGGCGAGUGGCGGACGGGUGAGGAAUACAUCGGAAUCUACUUUUUCGUGGGGGAUAACGUAGGGAAACUUACGCUAAUACCGCAUACGACCUACGGGUGAAAGCAGGGGAUCUUCGGACCUUUCGCGAUUGAAUGAGCCGAUGUCGGAUUAGCUAGUUGGCGGGGUAAAGGCCCACCAAGGCGACGAUCCGUAGCUGGUCUGAGAGGAUGAUCAGCCACACUGGAACUGAGACACGGUCCAGACUCCUACGGGAGGCAGCAGUGGGGAAUAUUGGACAAUGGGCGCAAGCCUGAUCCAGCCAUACCGAGUGGGUGAAGAAGGCCUUCGGGUUGUAAAGCCCUUUUGUUGGGAAAGAAAAGCAGCAGGUUAAUACCCCGCUGUUCUGACGGUACCCAAAGAAUAAGCACCGGCUAACUUCGUG